RNAcentral lists this small RNA (799 nucleotides) under uncultured Tetracladium. Its description in RNAcentral is "eukaryotic LSU rRNA". The stretch from base 516 to 799 matches the Rfam family "Eukaryotic large subunit ribosomal RNA", at positions 1 to 281 of the family's 3401-position model. The record is from RNAcentral. Lineage: Eukaryota; Fungi; Ascomycota.
CUUGGUCAUUUAGAGGAAGUAAAAGUCGUAACAAGGUUUCCGUAGGUGAACCUGCGGAAGGAUCAUUAUCGUGGGGCUUCGGCCCUCUCGAGAUAGAACCCUUGCCUUUUUGAGUACCUUCGUUUCCUCGGCAGGCUCGCCUGCCAAUGGGGACCCCAAUAAACCCUUUGUAAUACCUGUAAUCGUCUGACAAAACAAACAAAAAUUAAAACUUUCAACAACGGAUCUCUUGGUUCUGGCAUCGAUGAAGAACGCAGCGAAAUGCGAUAAGUAAUGUGAAUUGCAGAAUUCAGUGAAUCAUCGAAUCUUUGAACGCACAUUGCGCCCCUUGGUAUUCCGAGGGGCAUGCCUAUUCGAGCGUCAUUAUCACCCCUCAAGCCUAGCUUGGUGUUGAGGCCUGCUGUCAAGGCAGCCUCUAAAAUCAGUGGCAGUGCUGUCAGGCUCUAAGCGUAGUAAAUCUAAUCGCUAUAGACACCUGGUGGACACUCGCCAGAACCCCCCCAUUUUUUAAUGAUUGACCUCGGAUUAGGUAGGGAUACCCGCUGAACUUAAGCAUAUCAAUAAGCGGAGGAAAAGAAACCAACAGGGAUUGCCUCAGUAACGGCGAGUGAAGCGGCAAAAGCUCAAAUUUGAAAUCUGGCUCUUUUAGGGUCCGAGUUGUAAUUUGUAGAAGAUGUUUCGGGUGUGGCUCCGGUUUAAGUUCUUUGGAAUAUUACAUCAUAGAGGGUGAGAAUCCCGUAUGUGACCGGCAGCCUUCGCCUAUGUGAAACUCUUUCGACGAGUCGAGUUGUUUGGGAAU